AAUAAAAUGGCUGAUAAAAGCGAUAAAUUGUAAAUUUAUUUAUAGGAAAUAAUCCUUUUUAUUA
Molecule: transfer RNA, 64 nt
Filed under: Euproctis seitzi
Lineage: Eukaryota; Metazoa; Arthropoda; Insecta; Lepidoptera; Erebidae
Description: tRNA-Tyr
Source: RNAcentral